GAUGAACGCUGGCGGCGUGCCUAAUACAUGCAAGUCGAGCGAACGGACGAGAAGCUUGCUUCUCUGAUGUUAGCGGCGGACGGGUGAGUAACACGUGGAUAACCUACCUAUAAGACUGGGAUAACUUCGGGAAACCGGAGCUAAUACCGGAUAAUAUUUUGAACCGCAUGGUUCAAAAGUGAAAGACGGUCUUGCUGUCACUUAUAGAUGGAUCCGCGCUGCAUUAGCUAGUUGGUAAGGUAACGGCUUACCAAGGCAACGAUGCAUAGCCGACCUGAGAGGGUGAUCGGCCACCCGGGAACUGAGACACGGUCCAGACUCCUACGGGAGGCAGCAGUAGGGAAUCUUCCGCAAUGGGCGAAAGCCUGACGGAGCAACGCCGCGUGCGUGAUGAAGGUCUUCGGAUCGUAAAACUCUGUUAUUAGGGAAGAACAUAUGUGUAAGUAACUGUGCACAUCUUGACGGUACCUAAUCAGAAAGCCACGGCUAACUUCGUG
RNAcentral lists this ribosomal RNA (497 nucleotides) under uncultured bacterium. Its description in RNAcentral is "partial 16S ribosomal RNA". It matches the Rfam family "Bacterial small subunit ribosomal RNA", at positions 28 to 507 of the family's 1533-position model. The record is from RNAcentral.